This 443-nucleotide ribosomal RNA is filed under the name uncultured bacterium. RNAcentral describes it as "partial 16S ribosomal RNA". It matches the Rfam family "Bacterial small subunit ribosomal RNA", at positions 28 to 507 of the family's 1533-position model. The record is from RNAcentral.
GAUGAACGCUGGCGGCACGCCUAACACAUGCAAGUCGAUCGGUAAGGCUCUUCGGAGUACACGAGAGGCGGACGGCUGAGUAACGCGUAGGAACACACCCUGCAGUGAGGGAUAAGACACCGAAAGGUGUUCUAAUACCGCAUACGGUCUUCGGAUUAAAGCAUUUAUGCGCUGAAGGAGUGGCCUGCGUCAUAUUAGAUAGUUGGUGAGGUAAUGGCUCACCAAGUCGAUGAUGUGUAGCUGGUCUGAGAGGAUGAUCAGCCAGACUGGAACUGAGACACGGUCCAGACUCCUACGGGAGGCAGCAGUGAGGAAUAUUUCACAAUGAGCGAAAGCUUGAUGGAGCAAUGCCGCGUGCAGGAUGAAGGCCCUCGGGUUGUAAACUGCUUUUAUAAGAGAAGAUUAUGACGGUAACUUAUGAAUAAGGGACGGCUAACUACGUG